Non-coding RNA from Podarcis lilfordi (Lilford's wall lizard), 102 nucleotides. The record is from the annotation of a GenBank genome assembly. NCBI's taxonomy places the organism in Eukaryota, Metazoa, Chordata, Lepidosauria, Squamata, Lacertidae.
AACUAAGUUUGUUCUUGGUAUGAGCUUUCAUGUGCAUGCACACUUCUUCAGAUACACAUGUGCAUGCACACAAAAGCUCAUACCAAGAACAAACUUAGUUGG